AACCAGGUCCUGUGCAACGGCGACGGCGUGAACCCCGUCAGAUCCGGAAGGAAGCAGCGGCAGCACCGCUCUCCGUGUGCCGCAGGGUCGCCUGGUUAUC
This 100-nucleotide signal recognition particle RNA is filed under the name Deltaproteobacteria bacterium. RNAcentral's name for it is "signal recognition particle sRNA small type". It matches the Rfam family "Bacterial small signal recognition particle RNA". Rfam says of the family: The signal recognition particle (SRP) is a universally conserved ribonucleoprotein involved in the co-translational targeting of proteins to membranes. Archaeal SRP consists of a 7S RNA and homologues of the eukaryotic SRP19 and SRP54 proteins. Lineage: Bacteria; Pseudomonadati; Myxococcota; Myxococcia. The record is from RNAcentral.